This 235-nucleotide ribosomal RNA is filed under the name uncultured Actinomycetales bacterium. Its description in RNAcentral is "partial 16S ribosomal RNA". It matches the Rfam family "Bacterial small subunit ribosomal RNA", at positions 96 to 334 of the family's 1533-position model. The record is from RNAcentral. Lineage: Bacteria; Bacillati; Actinomycetota; Actinomycetes; Actinomycetales.
UGGCGAACGGGUGAGUAACACGUGGGUGAUCUGCCCUGCACUCUGGGAUAAGCCUGGGAAACUGGGUCUAAUACCGGAUAGGACCAUGCUUUAGUGUGUGUGGUGGAAAGUUUUUUCGGUGUAGGAUGAGCCCGCGGCCUAUCAGCUUGUUGGUGGGGUAAUGGCCUACCAAGGCGGCGACGGGUAGCCGGACUGAUAGGUUGGUCGGCCACAUUGGGACUGAGAUACGGCCCAG